AAUGAACGCUGGCGGCAGGCCUAACACAUGCAAGUCGAACGGGUGCCUUCGGGUGCUAGUGGCGGACGGGUGAGUAACGCGUGGGAACAUACCCUUUGGUACGGAAUAGCCUCGGGAAACUGAGAGUAAUACCGUAUGUGCCCUUCGGGGGAAAGAUUUAUCGCCAAAGGAUUGGCCCGCGUUGGAUUAGGUAGUUGGUGGGGUAAUGGCCUACCAAGCCGACGAUCCAUAGCUGGUUUGAGAGGAUGAUCAGCCACACUGGGACUGAGACACGGCCCAGACUCCUACGGGAGGCAGCAGUGGGGAAUCUUAGACAAUGGGGGAAACCCUGAUCUAGCCAUGCCGCGUGAUCGAUGAAGGCCUUAGGGUUGUAAAGAUCUUUCAGAUGGGAAGAUAAUGA
RNAcentral lists this ribosomal RNA (400 nucleotides) under uncultured bacterium. Its description in RNAcentral is "bacterial SSU rRNA". It matches the Rfam family "Bacterial small subunit ribosomal RNA", at positions 29 to 454 of the family's 1533-position model. The record is from RNAcentral.